GACGAACGCUGGCGGCGUGCUUAACACAUGCAAGUCGAACGGAAAGGCCCUGUUCUUGUGGGGUGCUCGUGUGGCGAACGGGUGAGUAUCACGUGAGUAACCUGUCCUUGACUUUGGGAUAACACCAGGAAACAGGAGCUAAUAUAGGAUAUAAGAACCUGCUGCAUGGGGGGUGUGGGUGAGAUACGGAGGUUGGGGAUGUACACGCGGCUUAUCAGCUUGUUGGCGGGGUAGUGGCUUACCAAGGCAUCGACGGGUAGCCGGCCUGAGAGGGUGACAGGCCACAUUGGGACUGAGAUACGGCCCAGACUCCUACGGGAGGCAGCAGUGGAGAAUAUUGCACGAUGGGCGGAAGCCUGAUGCAGCGUCGCCGCGUGCGGGAUGACUGCCGUCGGGGUGUAAACCGCUUGCGCGUGUGACGCAGCGUGAGUGACGGUAAUGGGUAAAGAAGCACCGGCUAACUACGUG
Molecule: ribosomal RNA, 468 nt
Filed under: uncultured bacterium
Lineage: Bacteria
Description: partial 16S ribosomal RNA
Rfam family: Bacterial small subunit ribosomal RNA
Source: RNAcentral